Molecule: unclassified non-coding RNA, 572 nt
Filed under: plant metagenome
Description: partial contains small subunit ribosomal RNA and internal transcribed spacer 1
Rfam family: Group I catalytic intron (bases 63-287)
Source: RNAcentral
AAGUCGUAACAAGGUUUCCGUAGGCGGAACAUUGCAUCCUUUCGGGUACAUCUGCUGAAACCUUAGUGAAUUGGUUAGGCGACUCAAAACAAGUAUAACCCUCGGGGCUUGCCCUCGAGCACUAGCCGUCCCUCGUGGAUAGCGACAUUACCAGUAUGCGGGAACAUUCUUCAAGCGUAGUUGAAUAACCCGCAGUCACAUUUUGUGACUCACAGGCUAAAUGGUAAUGGGCGUAGAUGAUAGUCACCUAUGCUUCAGAUAUAGUCGGUCCCCAGAUAUCUCUGGGAGACUUGUGGAUUCGGCGGGUCUGGGCGCGCGAGCUCCCACGAAGCCAGCUCCCACGAGCGAGUAAGCGUUCCGUAGGUGAACCUGCGGAAGGAUCAUUACCGAGAGAGGGGCUUCGCGCUCCCGGGGGUUUCGGCCUCCACCUCUUCACCCAUUGCGUACCUACCUUUGUUGCUUUGGCGGGCCAUGAGGUUCGCCCUACGCCGGCCUCCGCGCUGGCGAGCGCCCGUCAGAGGCCCUCAAAUUCCUGUUUAUAGUGAUGUCCGAGUUAACACAAAUAGUUAAAA